GUAAUAUAUAGAUAACCUGCCCUUAAGAAAGGAAUAACAGUUGGAAACGACUGCUAAUGCCCUAUAUGCCUUUAAUACAUAAGUAUGCAAGGGAAACGCCUUAGUGCUUAAGGAUGGGUCUGUAUGGUAUCAGCUUUGUUGGUGAGGUAAUGGCUCACCAAGGCUAUGACGCCUAACUGGUUUGAGAGGAUGAUCAGUCACACUGGAACUGAGACACGGUCCAGACUCCUACGGGAGGCAGCAGUGGGGAAUAUUGCACAAUGGACGAAAGUCUGAUGCAGCAACGCCGCGUGGAGGAUGACACAUUUCGGUGCGUAAACUCCUUUUAUAUAGGAAGAUAAUGACGGUACUAUAUGAAUAAGCACCGGCUAACUCCGUGCCAGCAGCCGCGGUAAUACGGAGGGUGCAAGCGUUACUCGGAAUCACUGGGCGUAAAGAGCGUGUAGGCGGGUAUAUAAGUCAGAAGUGAAAUCCUAUAGCUUAACUAUAGAACUGCUUUUG
This 501-nucleotide ribosomal RNA is filed under the name uncultured bacterium. Its description in RNAcentral is "bacterial SSU rRNA". It matches the Rfam family "Bacterial small subunit ribosomal RNA", at positions 110 to 629 of the family's 1533-position model. The record is from RNAcentral.